AAUCAACGCUGGCGGCAUGCCUAACACAUGCAAGUCGAACGCCCCGCAAGGGGAGCGGCAGACGGGUGAGUAACACGUGGGAACGUGCCUUUUGGUUCGGAACAACUGAGGGAAACUUCAGCUAAUACCGGGAUAAGCCCUUACGGGGAAAGAUUUAUCGCCAAAAGAUCGGCCCGCGUCUGAUUAGCUAGUUGGUGAGGUAAUGGCUCACCAAGGCUACGAUCAGUAGCUGUUCGAGAGGAUGAUCAGCCACAUUGGGACUGAGACACGGCCCAAACUCCUACGGGAGGCAGCAGUGGGGAAUAUUGGACAAUGGGGGAAACCCUGAUCCAGCCAUGCCGCGUGAGUGAUGAAGGCCUAGGGUUGUAAAGCUCUUUCAGCGGGAAGAUAAUGACGGUACCCGCAGAAGAAGCCCCGGCUAACUUCGUGCCAGCCGCCGCU
Molecule: ribosomal RNA, 441 nt
Filed under: uncultured bacterium
Lineage: Bacteria
Description: bacterial SSU rRNA
Rfam family: Bacterial small subunit ribosomal RNA
Source: RNAcentral